Molecule: ribosomal RNA, 253 nt
Filed under: uncultured bacterium
Lineage: Bacteria
Description: partial 16S ribosomal RNA
Rfam family: Bacterial small subunit ribosomal RNA
Source: RNAcentral
UACAGAGGUCCCAAGCGUUGUUCGGAUUCACUGGGCGUAAAGGGUGCGUAGGCGGGUCUUUAAGUCAGGGGUGAAAUCCUGGAGCUCAACUCCAGAACUGCCUUUGAUACUGAAGAUCUUGAGUUCGGGAGAGGUGAGUGGAACUGCGAGUGUAGAGGUGAAAUUCGUAGAUAUUCGCAAGAACGCCAGUGGCGAAGGCGGCUCACUGGCCCGAUACUGACGCUGAGGCACGAAAGCGUGGGGAGCAAACAGG